GAUGAACGCUGGCGGCGUGCCUAAUACAUGCAAGUCGAGCGAACAGACGCGGAGCUUGCUCCUCUGACGUUAGCGGCGGACGGGUGAGUAACACGUGGUUAACCUACCUAUAAGACUGGGAUAACUUCGGGAAACCGGAGCUAAUACCGGAUCAUAUCUUCAACCGCAUGGUUCAAUAGUGACAGACGGUUUUGCUGUACCUUCUAGAUGGAUCCGCGCCGCAUUAGCUAGUUGGUACGGUAACGGCUUACCAAGGCCACGAUGCGUAGCCGACCUGAGAGGGUGAUCGGCCACACAGGAACUGAGACACGAUCCAGACACCUACGGGAGGCAGCAGUAGGGAAGCUUCCGCAAUGGGGGAAAGCCUGACGGAGCAACGCCGCGUGAGUGAUGAAGGGCUUCGGAUCGUAAAACUCUGUUAUGAGGGAAGAACAAAUGUGUAAGUAACUAUGCACGUCUUGACGGUACCUAAACAGAAAGCCACGGCUAACUACGUG
This 497-nucleotide ribosomal RNA is filed under the name uncultured bacterium. RNAcentral's name for it is "partial 16S ribosomal RNA". It matches the Rfam family "Bacterial small subunit ribosomal RNA", at positions 28 to 507 of the family's 1533-position model. The record is from RNAcentral.